GUCAACAUAGCAUAGUGGUUUGAGUUUUAGACUACAACCCUGGAGACCAGGGUUCGAUUCCCAGCUCAGCCA
RNAcentral lists this transfer RNA (72 nucleotides) under Phrynosoma platyrhinos (Desert horned lizard). RNAcentral describes it as "tRNA-OTHER". The record is from RNAcentral. Lineage: Eukaryota; Metazoa; Chordata; Lepidosauria; Squamata; Phrynosomatidae.